Molecule: long non-coding RNA, 3999 nt
Organism: Taeniopygia guttata (zebra finch)
Lineage: Eukaryota; Metazoa; Chordata; Aves; Passeriformes; Estrildidae
Source: Ensembl
AUGACUUGGGCCCCUAGGGUGGCGACAAGUUUGCAGCGGAAAGUGCCAGCCCAGGAAGAAGCAACAACAAAUAUCCCCAGCAUGGCCAUAGUAAUAAUGGUGUCUUACACUGGCUGUCUCUCCUUCCAUGUGGAAAUAGCAGAGGGGGUCUCUAUGAAUAAUAAGUACCUUUCAGUACCGAUAAAGCUUCACCAGUAUUGGAUGGGUGUUGCACAGCUUUCAUCCUUGAAAAAUUACCAGGAAAAAGGGACAGCAGGGGUAGGUAGGCCAACACAGGCACAGCUGAGGACAGGUUUCUGGCCCCAAAUCUACUUUCAGGUCUGAAAUGUACUGAAAGUAAAGGCAGCAACUGAUUUCCACAAAGAAGGGCCAGUAGGGAAAGGUAGAAUUAGAGAAAGAAUUAAAAAACCCGGUAGCUUUGCAUACAAAGCAAUCUCUUAACAGGGUUUCUUAGGAGUCUAAGAGGCUGGGCCUUUCACUCCUUUUUUUAUUCUAUCUCAUUGUCUCCUUUUUGGUCAUAUCUGCAUGUCCUUUUGUUAUGCUGAUAGUCUUUCCAUACUGUUUCUGCCUACUCUCACCUUCCGCAAUUCCACCAGUGUCACAAGUCCUAGCAAGCAGAUAUAUUAAUCAAUUCAGCUACAAUAUAGAAACUUCUCACUGUUGAAUUUUUUGAAUUAAUUAAUUGAAUUAAUUAAAUAUCUGAUUUAAUUUUUCAUCUGUCAUGGUUUGACGCUGGCACAAUGCCAGCGCCCCAUGAAAAUACAACUUACCCAUCAAAUGCUGUGAAAUGUGAUCAAGAACAGAGCAAAGCAGGCCAAACUUAGUAACAAAGGAAAAACGUUAUUACACUACUACUACUACUACUAUAAAAGGAAAAGAAAGGAAAGAAAAAAAACACACAAAAUUCGAAAUGAAAACCUUCCAAAACAUUUCUCCUCCCUCCACCCUACUCCACCAAACCCCAGCGAGACCCAUUUGGAUCCUUAAUCAAGUUUUCACCCUUCAAGAUAAUCAAUACUGAAUCCAUCGGGGAAGAGAGGAGUCCCCCUUGCACCAUAGACCCCCAGGAAACACAGCUGCCACCUCUUGUGUUUCCAAUGUCACACGUGGCACCGCCCAGACACACCGGCCAGUGUGACAUUCUCCUCUCCAUGUCACAGUGCUCUCACCACCGUGCAUGGACAGAGACUGCUUAUAGGGCCCCUUUAAGGAUGCUUUGCCAAGGACCACCAGGAACAACAGUCCAGUAUCACAAUUCGGGACUAGAGUCCCCCCCAUUUUCCCCUGGGGCCGAGGGUCCAAAAGACAGAGAUCGCCUUCUCUUCUUCUCUGAAGAUGGAGGGCAUCCUCACACCCUCCUCAGCUCUCUCUCUGUCCACUCCAAAACUGGUAGUUGCUGAAGAAGGUCUCUUGGCUCACCAAUGCAUCCCCCUAAAAUGCAGUCCCUCUUGAAAGAAAGAGUGGUUCAGUCUAUGGUAAACAAGCAGAGUCCAGCCAAAAGCCAACCCAUCAUCUUCCCCCAACCUUCUUCUCUGAACAUCUGAGGUUUCAGGCUGUCUCUCUUUUCUUCAAAUUCAGGAGGAGUAAUAUUUCAUAAAGCUUUCAUUUCACAGGAAAGGGUUAAAAUUCCCGGACUCCCCGGACGGCUGCAAUCUCAGCCCAGGACUCUUUCUCUAGUCUCCCACGCUGGGCAUCUUCCCCCUCCCUUCUCUUUCUCCUCCGCCGGCAAACUCCUAGGUGUCUGCUGGCUCUCUAUCUCUUUUCCCUCUGGCUUAGGGGAGGGGGAACAAAAACAUCCCAGAUGUUCUCCACCCUUCCAUCCGCAGGAGCUGGCCCAGCUCGGUUCCGAUCCUUCACCCCCUGGCCUACCUCUGCAGGCCGCAUGGCUCCCCUCCCCCACCCAGCCCGAGCUGGGGGGGGAGGUCCGUACCAUGCGGUGACCAGAACCAAAGAAGGACGAGUCCUCCUGGGAAUUCCGCUUUUAACCCCUCUGUGUUCUCAGAGGCGUGUCCACCUUCAACUGGUCACCCCAAGUGUCAGUAUCUAAACAUGACCCCUGACUGGAUGGACCUCUUCCUUCCAAAAAAAAUUAUCUUCCCGUGUCAAACCAUGACAUCAUCUCCAGUAUAGAAACCUCUCCCUUUUCAAUUUUUUUGUCAGGAACAACAUAGCAAUGGAAUAAUGUAAUCAGGUGCUGAUGUGUAGAAUUUGACUGGAAACUGCUAUAAGCCUGCUGUGGGAAGAAACAGUUUUAUUUUACAGCCUGAAAUAGCAGACUGUAUUCCACUAAAUCACAGCAGUAAUGCAACAGGUUCAAAUAAGAAGCUGGAAGCUGCUUAGAUUCCAGAACAAACUGUCUUGGCAAGAGCCCUGAGAAUAAUGCCUGACUCACCUCAGCCAGGAAACGCAUACAAUAAAUAUCAAAGCAGGUAGGAUGCACUAAGUAACAGCAGCAGAACACACUCUUACGUUAUUGGUGCACUCAUAAUUUAAUUUCAGAUGAAUCAAAGCCUUGAGCCAAGGCUUGGGAUCAUGUAAUCCAGCGCUGCUAACACACACACUUUACAAACACCAGUGCCUAAGUGCUGAGCUCAGGGACAGUGCUGGACAGCUUUCUUAAAUAAACUCCAACAGGGACAACAGCUUACACAGAACAAUGGAUGAAGGAUAAAUCUGGAAUGAAGAAGAUGAGCUAAAGACAGCAGUGGGUAAAUUAAAUAUUAAUAUCACUGUGUGGAAUCAGAUGGCUAGAUUACAUCCAGAAUUUUCUUUGGGGAUUGCUGGACAGACACUGUUGUUUGUUUUCAAUUUUGACUGUACAGGAGUGGUUUUAUGGUGUUCCUUGUCCUGGAAAAAGGAAUAAUAAAGCACCACAGAAGAGAGUGGAUCCUGGGGAGCAAGCUCAGGUGUGGUCAGGAUGACCAGCAUGCAGCUGAGAGGAUGUGUGUUGUGGCAAGUCUGUUCAGCAACGCUGGCUGGGUGUAGCUGCCCAGUUGUGGCCAGAGUGUGGAGGUCUCUCAGCUAGCAUGCUCCCUGUGGCCAGGUGGCCCUAUGAGAGUGGCUGCCCCCAGAUCUCUUCUGAGACCUCGCUGCGUGGCAGUGCUCACAGGGAGUUGCAGCUCCCUACGGCAAGCUGUGGCAUGGGUAACACAGCUCCCAAACAGUAUAAAGAACCAAAGCAAAGAAACAGAGAGGGUCCACUUGCAUGAGUACCAUAACAGUUGAGUACCCAGCAGGGUUCAAGGAGGACAGGACUAAAAGUUGCAGCUUAUUUAAAAGAGGGGAGGGUAUGAGGGGUGGAAACAACUGUUAUCCAAUAAGGAAGCAUUAGGGGGACGAGAACACAGCUGCCGUAGUCCAAUUAAAGCAAUCAGGGGGAGGGAGCAGGUUUAACAGUCCAAUAGUAUGCUAGGGAUGCGGCAACAGACAGGGAACAUUCUGGAAUAAGCAGGCUGUGUUCAACUUGACAGGCAGGUAGGGGGCAGCGCAGUGGGGAUUGACAGGGUCAUAUAGGGAGGUACUGGGGAGACUGACAUAGACAUUGACAGGCACUUGGGUGGAAAAUAUUGGCGUAAACAACUCAAUGCUAAACCUUUAGGGGAACAGAAUGGGGUACAUGGAACAAAGCAUUAUAAACUGAUUAACAAAGAACAAUUAUAAAACAGCAAACCACCAUAGCUGGGGACUGCACCUAUCUCUUCACAGACUUCCACAACACUCUGCUGCUGCAGGCAUGUUUGCGGGACACCUGGUAUCUCAGGUGAGGCAGAGACUGAAAAAACCCUCUACGCUGCCACUGAGAAGAGGGACCCUCGUAAAAUGCUGCUUGAAACUCAGGCAGCCCCAGCACUGCCAUGACAUGAUACCACAAUAUAAGAAAAAUAUUAAGCUGGUAAAGAGUGUCCAAAGGAGGGCAACCAAGAUGGUGAAGGGCCUUGAGCCGAAACCAUAUAAGGAGUGGCUGAGGUCACUUGGUCUGUCCAACCUGGAGAAGAAUGA